GAUGAACGCUGGCGGCGUGCCUAAUACAUGCAAGUCGAGCGAACAGAUGAGGAGCUUGCUCCUCUGACGUUAGCGGCGGACGGGUGAGUAACACGUGGAUAACCUACCUAUAAGACUGGGAUAACUUCGGGAAACCGGAGCUAAUACCGGAUAAUAUAUUGAACCGCAUGGUUCAAUAGUGAAAGACGGUUUUGCUGUCACUUAUAGAUGGAUCCGCGCCGCAUUAGCUAGUUGGUAAGGUAACGGCUUACCAAGGCAACGAUGCGUAGCCGACCUGAGAGGGGAUUCGGCCAAACUGGACCGGGGAAACGGCCCGGAUCCCAAGGGGAGGCAGCGGAGGGAAACCUUCGGCAUUGGGCGAAAGCCUAAGGGGGCAACGCGGGGGGGGGGAGAAAGUUUUUGGAUUCGUAAAACCCGGUAAUUGGGAAAAAACAAAGGUGUAAGUAACUAUGCACGCCUUAACGUAACCAAAUCGGAAGGCCAGGGUAACCUACGU
Molecule: ribosomal RNA, 496 nt
Filed under: uncultured bacterium
Lineage: Bacteria
Description: partial 16S ribosomal RNA
Rfam family: Bacterial small subunit ribosomal RNA
Source: RNAcentral